AAGUCGUAACAAGGUUUCCGUAGGUGAACCUGCGGAAGGAUCAUCAUCGAAUUCAUACCCUCCCCCCUCACCGGGGGGUGGGCUCAUGAUAAACCCUUCUGUGCACUGUAAACCGUUCACUUUGGCAGGCUUUUUGGUCGCGAGUGUUCCGCUCGCCCCAACCUCGCGUGCCCCUCCCAAGGGGGACGCGAGGCGGCCUGCCGGAGUUCUCUUCUGAAAAACUCGUUUGAGAACACGUCUGAAAAUUUCCUUUGAGAAAUCAAAGAACCGAAAACAACUUUCAACAACGGAUCUCUUGGCUCUC
This 304-nucleotide unclassified non-coding RNA is filed under the name fungal sp. RNAcentral's name for it is "partial internal transcribed spacer region". The stretch from base 1 to 46 matches the Rfam family "Eukaryotic small subunit ribosomal RNA", at positions 1786 to 1831 of the family's 1831-position model. Lineage: Eukaryota; Fungi. The record is from RNAcentral.